GACGAACGCUGGCGGCGUGCUUAACACAUGCAAGUCGAACGGAAAGGCCCUGCUUUUGUGGGGUGCUCGAGUGGCGAACGGGUGAGUAACACGGGAGUAACCUGCCCUUGACUUUGGGAUAACUUCAGGAAACUGGGGCUAAUACCGGAUAGGAGCUCCUGCUGCAUGGUGGGGGUUGGAAAGUUUCGGCGGGUGGGGAUGGACUCGCGGCUUAUCAGCUUGUUGGUGGGGUAGUGGCUUACCAAGGCUUUGACGGGUAGCCGGCCUGAGAGGGUGACCGGCCACAUUGGGACUGAGCUACGGCCCAGACUCCUACGGGAGGCAGCAGUGGGGAAUAUUGCACAAUGGGCGGAAGCCUGAUGCAGCAACGCCGCGUGCGGGAUGACGGCCUUCGGGUUGUAAACCGCUUUCGCCUGUGACGAAGCGUGAGUGACGGUAAUGGGUCAAGAAGCACCGGCUAACUACGUG
Molecule: ribosomal RNA, 468 nt
Filed under: uncultured bacterium
Lineage: Bacteria
Description: partial 16S ribosomal RNA
Rfam family: Bacterial small subunit ribosomal RNA
Source: RNAcentral